Salvia splendens (bonfire salvia) is the source of this 85-nucleotide small nucleolar RNA. RefSeq annotates it as small nucleolar RNA R38. The transcript has a single exon. Lineage: Eukaryota; Viridiplantae; Streptophyta; Magnoliopsida; Lamiales; Lamiaceae. The record is from RefSeq and is a predicted model, not a curated record.
UUCAAUGAAUGAUGAAAACAAUAUUUUUUCAGUUAUCCCUGUCUGAUUAAAUUCUCAUGCUGAUUUCUUUGAAUCUGACAUGGAA